Molecule: long non-coding RNA, 1391 nt
Filed under: Monodelphis domestica (gray short-tailed opossum)
Lineage: Eukaryota; Metazoa; Chordata; Mammalia; Didelphimorphia; Didelphidae
Description: lncRNA (ENSMODG00000045943.1)
Source: RNAcentral
AUGAUCAAGGCCUCCUUGAAGGCUGGAGUGACCUGGAAUCACGGAAUCGGCAUAACUAGGGAGGGGCAUCGCCACCCCCCAUUCCCCAUUCUGGGAAUCAGCCAUCCCCCACCUCGCAGUAAGCAUCAGCAGUGGAGAGCAGGCUCCUGGGGAAGGUGGGAGACACUUCAGUGUUGGGGCAGGCCUGCGGUGGGGGGCCGGAGGGCUUUCACACUGUCCCAGUGCUGGACACCCUGCUUAGAGAAUCUGAGCUUUUCUACCUUGGAGGAUGCUGCCUGCUUCGAGGGGUUGGUUUGGUCUAGGGAGACGAUGGAUGGGAUCCUCCAUCCCAUUGAAAGAGCUAGAAAUGGCUCUCUGGGACUCGGGGAGGCUCUGGAAGGGUUCCAUUAUAUAGGAUUUCGACCAGGGCACCCCAAACAGGAAGCACACCCCAAGGGGAAGCUUGGCUGUGACCUGGCUGAUGCUCUCCGGGUCUCAUCUAGAGAAUUGACUGAUGACCCAACUGACUCCACUCCAAGAAAACCAGCCUUAUUGGAGGAGAAUAUAGUUGCGGAGCAGCUAGUAGAAUUCUGAGGAAGGCGAGAGUGAAGAAACUGAGCCUUGUUUGAGCCUCGGGAGCUGAAGCCCCUGUACCUGCUGCCCCGAGACCCCAGCCAAGGACCCAGGCGUGAGGAAUUUUCUCAUAACUGUGACUCUAAGCCACUCACAGUCUCAUCUGAAAGGUGGCCCCUUCCUAGUCAGCCAGUUAGCUUUGGGUGACACAUCGAGUGGACCUGCCACCAGCCCUGGGUAGGGCAACUCGGAUCUAGAAUUCUUUGGGGGGGUACAGGGCCUGGGAGAACCCCAAAGACCUUGUAUUGGGCCAUCUCAUCGUUUCUGGAGUUACCAGGCUCAGGCGCCAUUCUGGCUAAGGACAAUAACAUAGGACUGGGUUUCAAUGGAAUGGGCAUUCCCCCCACCAGCUUGGCAAGCCAUGAGGUGGCAGCUAGCUUGAGCCCCCCACCCCUAGCAGCAGCCCCCUUCCUGCCCAGUCCCUGGGAUCUCCGCCCCCUGUUCUCGUCAGGUCUUGCUGAUUUCCGGCCCUGAUUCUGGGACCUGGGACAGCUCCUUCCGAGCUUUUCCUCAUUCUGAGGAGGAUUCCUCCUUCCUUGGGCGUUGUCAGAGACCAUAUUGGGGACAACUUGACCUGAAACAAGAUUAAGGAUCUUUGGGAAACUGAACAAACAAGUUACCUCCCGAAAACGGGCGUCGCCAAGACCAACAGCCACAAACCAUAACAAUAAGCAUUCUUCGUGUUCCCUCCUGGUACAAGCAGUCUUUAAUCACCCCCCCCCCCCUUUACCUCAAGCACAUAUAUUCUGCCUUGCACCUGCAAUAAACGGAGCCUUGAC